Molecule: ribosomal RNA, 254 nt
Filed under: uncultured bacterium
Lineage: Bacteria
Description: partial 16S ribosomal RNA
Rfam family: Bacterial small subunit ribosomal RNA
Source: RNAcentral
UACGGGGGGAGCAAGCGUUGUUCGGAUUUACUGGGCGUAAAGGGCGCGUAGGCGGCCAGCACAAGUCAGUUGUGAAAUCUCCGAGCUUAACUCGGAAAGGUCAACUGAUACUGUGCGGCUAGAGUGCGGAAGGGGCAACUGGAAUUCUUGGUGUAGCGGUGAAAUGCGUAGAUAUCAAGAGGAACACCUGAGGUGAAGACGGGUUGCUGGGCUGACACUGACGCUGAGGCGCGAAAGCUAGGGUAGCAAACGGG